This 72-nucleotide transfer RNA is filed under the name Marmota monax (woodchuck). RNAcentral describes it as "tRNA.Ala". Lineage: Eukaryota; Metazoa; Chordata; Mammalia; Rodentia; Sciuridae. The record is from RNAcentral.
UGAGGUGUAGCUCAGUGAUAGAGUGCUUGCUUAGCAUAUGCCAAAUCUUGAGUUCAAUCCCCAACACUACAC